Molecule: ribosomal RNA, 253 nt
Filed under: uncultured bacterium
Lineage: Bacteria
Description: partial 16S ribosomal RNA
Rfam family: Bacterial small subunit ribosomal RNA
Source: RNAcentral
UACGUAGGGUGCGAGCGUUGUCCGGAAUUAUUGGGCGUAAAGAGCUCGUAGGCGGUCUGUCGCGUCUGCUGUGAAAACCCGAGGCUCAACCUCGGGCCUGCAGUGGGUACGGGCAGACUAGAGUGCGGUAGGGGAGAAUGGAAUUCCUGGUGUAGCGGUGGAAUGCGCAGAUAUCAGGAGGAACACCGAUGGCGAAGGCAGUUCUCUGGGCUGUAACUGACGCUGAGGAGCGAAAGCGUGGGGAGCGAACAGG